UGCAAGUCGAACGGAAGUCGUUGUAAUGAUAUAGACAUGGACGGAGAACUUGUUCAAAGAAAGUGAAAGUUGACUUACAACAAUGGCUUUAGUGGCGGACUGGUGAGUAACACGUAAGCAACCUGCCUAUCAGAGGGGAACAACAGUUAGAAAUGACUGCUAAUACCGCAUAUGCCUUAGCAACACAUGUUGCAAAAAGGGAAAGGAGCAAUCCGCUGAUAGAUGGGCUUGCGUCUGAUUAGAUAGUUGGUGGGGUAACGGCCUACCAAGUCGACGAUCAGUAGCCGGACUGAGAGGUUGAACGGCCACAUUGGGACUGAGAUACGGCCCAGACUCCUACGGGAGGCAGCAGUCGGGAAUAUUGCGCAAUGGAGGAAACUCUGACGCAGUGACGCCGCGUGCAGGAAGAAGGUUUUCGGAUUGUAAACUGCUUUAGACAGGGAAGAACAAAGACAGUACCUGUAGAAUAAGCUCCGGCUAACUACGUGCCAGCAGCCGCGGUAAUACGUAGGGAGCAAGCGUUAUCCGGAUUUAUUGGGUGUAAAGGGUGCGUAGACGGUAAUGCAAGUUAGUUGUGAAAUCCCUCGGCUUAACUGAGGAACUGCAACUAAAACUACAUUUCUUGAGUAUUGGAGGGGAAAGUGGAAUUCCUAGUGUAGCGGUGAAAUGCGUAGAUAUUAGGAGGAACACCGGUGGCGAAGGCGACUUUCUGGACAAUUACUGACGUUGAGGCACGAAAGUGUGGGGAGCAAACAGGAUUAGAUACCCUGGUAGUCCACACCGUAAACGAUGGAUACUAGGUGUAGGAUGUGAUAAACAUU
RNAcentral lists this ribosomal RNA (821 nucleotides) under uncultured bacterium. RNAcentral describes it as "bacterial SSU rRNA". It matches the Rfam family "Bacterial small subunit ribosomal RNA", at positions 56 to 840 of the family's 1533-position model. The record is from RNAcentral.